RNAcentral lists this transfer RNA (74 nucleotides) under Allomyces macrogynus ATCC 38327. RNAcentral describes it as "tRNA-Ile (TAT) (tRNA-Ile-TAT-1-1, tRNA-Ile-TAT-1-2)". It matches the Rfam family "tRNA". Rfam says of the family: Transfer RNA (tRNA) molecules are approximately 80 nucleotides in length. Their secondary structure includes four short double-helical elements and three loops (D, anti-codon, and T loops). Lineage: Eukaryota; Fungi; Blastocladiomycota; Blastocladiomycetes; Blastocladiales; Blastocladiaceae. The record is from RNAcentral.
GCUCCAGUAGCUCAAUCGGUUAGAGCGCCGUGCUUAUAACGCGGAGGUUGCGGGUUCGAGCCCCGCCUGGAGCA